CGCGUAGGCGGCCAAUUAAGUCAAAUGUGAAAUCCCCGAGCUUAACUUGGGAAUUGCAUUCGAUACUGGUUGGCUAGAGUGUGGGAGAGGAUGGUAGAAUUCCAGGUGUAGCGGUGAAAUGCGUAGAGAUCUGGAGGAAUACCGAUGGCGAAGGCAGCCAUCUGGCCUAACACUGACGCUGAGGUGCGAAAGCAUGGGGAGCAAACAGGAUUAGAUACCCCCGUA
Molecule: ribosomal RNA, 225 nt
Filed under: uncultured Acinetobacter sp.
Lineage: Bacteria; Pseudomonadati; Pseudomonadota; Gammaproteobacteria; Moraxellales; Moraxellaceae
Description: partial 16S ribosomal RNA
Rfam family: Bacterial small subunit ribosomal RNA
Source: RNAcentral